This 295-nucleotide long non-coding RNA is filed under the name Capsicum annuum. RNAcentral describes it as "long non-coding RNA (CANN_LNC019028)". The record is from RNAcentral. Lineage: Eukaryota; Viridiplantae; Streptophyta; Magnoliopsida; Solanales; Solanaceae.
CUUCCAGACCUUCCUAUCUAGGGUCAUGUCCUCGGUAAGCUGUAACUGUUCCAUGUCCCGCCUAAUCACCUCACCCCAGUACUUCUUCGGUCUACCCCUACCCCGUCUAAAACCAUCCAACGCUAGCCUCUCACACCUACGGACCGGGGCAUCCAUGCCCCUCCUCUUCACGUGUCCGAACCAUCGCAAUCGUGCUUCCCGCAUCUUACACUCCACUGAAGUCACCCCAACCUUCUCCCGGAUAGUCUCAUUCCGAGCUCUAUCCCUUCGGGUCAGUCCACACAUCCAGCGCAAC